Pangasianodon gigas (Mekong giant catfish) is the source of this 72-nucleotide non-coding RNA. NCBI's taxonomy places the organism in Eukaryota, Metazoa, Chordata, Actinopteri, Siluriformes, Pangasiidae. The record is from the annotation of a GenBank genome assembly.
UCGAAAGCCAGAGAAAUGGAUUCUACAAUCCACCGGCUGAGGGUCUGCUUAGAAGCAGGAAAACCCCUCUUA